UCGGUGAGGAGUCUGUUUCCAUCUCAGACUACCCCCUUGUUGCAGGUUCCACACAGGCAGCCAAUGAGCCCGUUGAUCAUCUGGAUGGCGCACAAGAUCAGCUCCAGACAGCUGACAGCCAGCAGAGUCGCGAACAGGCCAAUGUGGAAAUCCACAAUGUUCUUUGGCUCGGUGCACACUCCCCACCAGGUCUUGUCAGACAGGUAGUUUCGCUCACUGCAACAGAGCAGGUUUGUGAAUAAAAUGGGCUUUAAGUAGAGAGACUAGAUAACUAGGUGUACAGUCUUUUAUCAUCAUCAUACUACCCACCCGUUUUUAAAUGGUGUGUUCCACAACAGAAAAACUUUACAGAGAGGUCCAUUCUGCAAACCGAGCACUGCUACUAAGAAGCUGUACAGAGCCCCGGCCACUCCCACAGCGGCGAGUACGAUAGAUAGAAACAUCUGCAGGAGUGAAAUGAUACCCAAAGGCUCCACACAUGCAGCCGAGGAGACCGUUGAUGAUCUGAGCGGCACAGAGUAACACCUGCAGGCAGCUGGUGACCAUCAGAGUGGCGAACAGUCCAAUGUUGAACUGCACCACGUUUGGAGGCUCUUUGCAUUCUCCCCACGACUUUGAGUCAGUCAGAUAGCCCCAAUUACUGUGCGAGAGAUGAGAAUUAUGACCAAGCAGAGCGUCAGAGUGUCAACAAAUCAAAUCAUCAAAAAAGCCACAUGUUCUUGUCACCUGGUUUUAAAAGGGGUUAUCCAUGCUCCAUCAUGUAUGCAGAGAGGCCCGCUACCCAAACCGAAUAAUGCCACAAUGAAACUGUACAGAGCGCCGAUUGCUCCUCCCGCAGCGAAGAUGAUGGAUAUGAACAUCUGCAGGAAAAAACGAUAAGCCGAGAAAAGACAUUUGAAUGUUUUAGCUUGAAGUCAUAAUUUUUGUUGUUUAAACACAAUCUUAAACACAGCACUUCACAUUUCAAAUACUUCUGUUCUUUUAUUUAGUUAUCUUGUUAUAAAAAGGAAACACCUUGAGCUGUGGCUCUCAUGGUUUUGCAUCUUAUCUAUCUGUGAAUCCACAAGUGUUGUGCAAGGAUGAUGCAGCACUUGGUAGAAUUUGUCUUCCCUAAUCAUUGAGUGUUUCUUUGACUGACUGGUCUCCAUUAAACACUUUGUGAUGAAUU
This is a long non-coding RNA of Notolabrus celidotus (New Zealand spotty), 1168 nucleotides long. RefSeq lists it as uncharacterized. The record is from RefSeq and is a predicted model, not a curated record. The transcript has 2 exons. Lineage: Eukaryota; Metazoa; Chordata; Actinopteri; Labriformes; Labridae.